GACGUAGGGCGCGAGCGUUGUCCGGAUUUAUUGGGCGUAAAGAGCUCGUAGGCGGCUUGUUGCGUCGACCGUGAAAACCCGCGGCUUAACUGUGGGCUUGCGGUCGAUACGGGCGGGCUGGAGUUCGGUAGGGGAGACUGGAAUUCCUGGUGUAGCGGUGGAAUGCGCAGAUAUCAGGAGGAACACCGGUGGCGAAGGCGGGUCUCUGGGCAGUAACUGACGCUGAGGAGCGAAAGCGUGGGGAGCGAACAGG
This 253-nucleotide ribosomal RNA is filed under the name uncultured bacterium. RNAcentral's name for it is "partial 16S ribosomal RNA". It matches the Rfam family "Bacterial small subunit ribosomal RNA", at positions 524 to 776 of the family's 1533-position model. The record is from RNAcentral.